GAUGAACGCUGGCGGCGUGCCUAACACAUGCAAGUCGAACGGAGUCGUUUUGGGAAUCUCUUCGGAGAUGGAAUUCUCGACUUAGUGGCGGACGGGUGAGUAACGCGUGAGCAAUCUGCCUUUAAGAGGGGGAUAACAGUCGGAAACGGCUGCUAAUACCGCAUAAAGCAUUAAAUUCGCAUGUUUUUGAUGCCAAAGGAGCAAUCCGCUUUUAGAUGAGCUCGCGUCUGAUUAGCUAGUUGGCGGGGUAACGGCCCACCAAGGCGACGAUCAGUAGCCGGACUGAGAGGUGGAACGGCCACAUUGGGACUGAGACACGGCCCAGACUCCUACGGGAGGCAGCAGUGGGGAAUAUUGCGCAAUGGGGGAAACCCUGACGCAGCAACGCCGCGUGAUUGAAGAAGGCCUUCGGGUUGUAAAGAUCUUUAAUCAGGGACGAAACAAAUGACGGUACCUGAAGAAUAAGCUCCGGCUAACUACGUG
This 483-nucleotide ribosomal RNA is filed under the name uncultured bacterium. RNAcentral describes it as "partial 16S ribosomal RNA". It matches the Rfam family "Bacterial small subunit ribosomal RNA", at positions 28 to 507 of the family's 1533-position model. The record is from RNAcentral.